GGAAGAUAUGGAUCUGAACAAUAGCGUAGAAGGGGAGUCAUUCCGUAAUUCGUAAAUCGUAAAAAUUAGAUCAAGUUGAUUCAAGACCUCCUCGUGGUAUCUUCUGGAUGCUAUUAGACUAAAGUUCUUUUGGUCUAAUAGUAACUAACUUGAAC
RNAcentral lists this non-coding RNA (155 nucleotides) under Drosophila persimilis. The record is from RNAcentral. Lineage: Eukaryota; Metazoa; Arthropoda; Insecta; Diptera; Drosophilidae.